GACGAACGCUGGCGGCGUGCUUAACACAUGCAAGUCGAACGGAAAGGCUCCAGCUUGCUGGAGUACUCGAGUGGCGAACGGGUGAGUAACACGUGGGUAAUCUGCCCUGCACUCUGGGAUAAGCCUGGGAAACUGGGUCUAAUACUGGAUAUGACCUUUCUCCUUAUGGGGUUUGGUGGAAAGUUUUUCGGUGUAGGAUGAGCCCGCGGCCUAUCAGCUUGUUGGUGGGGUGAUGGCCUACCAAGGCGACGACGGGUAGCCGGCCUGAGAGGGUGAUCGGCCACAUUGGGACUGAGAUACGGCCCAGACUCCUACGGGAGGCAGCAGUGGGGAACAUUGCACAAUGGGCGGAAGCCUGAUGCAGCGACGCCGCGUGAGGGAUGACGGCCUUCGGGUUGUAAACCUCUUUCAGCAGGGACGAAGCGUAAGUGACGGUACCUGCAGAAGAAGCACCGGCUAACUAUGUG
This 467-nucleotide ribosomal RNA is filed under the name uncultured bacterium. RNAcentral describes it as "partial 16S ribosomal RNA". It matches the Rfam family "Bacterial small subunit ribosomal RNA", at positions 28 to 507 of the family's 1533-position model. The record is from RNAcentral.